UAGUAUGGGGAGUCUGCCCGAUAGAGGGGAAUAACUACUGGAAACGGUAGCUAAUACCGCAUAACGUCGCAAGACCAAAGUGGGGGACCUUCGGGCCUCAUGCCAUCAGAUGUGCCCAGAUGGGAUUAGCUAGUAGUGGGGUAAUGGCUCACCUAGGCGACGAUCCCUAGCUGGUCUGAGAGGAUGAUCAGCCACACUGGGACUGAGACACGGCCCAG
RNAcentral lists this ribosomal RNA (218 nucleotides) under uncultured bacterium. Its description in RNAcentral is "partial 16S ribosomal RNA". It matches the Rfam family "Bacterial small subunit ribosomal RNA", at positions 113 to 334 of the family's 1533-position model. The record is from RNAcentral.